AGUGAACGCUGGCGGUAGGCCUAACACAUGCAAGUCGAACGGCAGCACAGUAAGAGCUUGCUCUUACGGGUGGCGAGUGGCGGACGGGUGAGGAAUACAUCGGAAUCUACUUUUUCGUGGGGGAUAACGUAGGGAAACUUACGCUAAUACCGCAUACGACCUACGGGUGAAAGCAGGGGAUCUUCGGACCUUGCGCGAUUGAAUGAGCCGAUGUCGGAUUAGCUAGUUGGCGGGGUAAAGGCCCACCAAGGCGACGAUCCGUAGCUGGUCUGAGAGGCUGAUCAGCCACACUGGAACUGAGACACGGUCCAGACUCCUACAGGAGGCAGCAGUGGGGAAUAUUGGACAAUGGGCGCAAGCCUGAUCCAGCCAUACCGCGUGGGUGAAGAAGGCCUUCGGGUUGUAAAGCCCUUUUGUUGGGAAAGAAAAGCAGCAGGUUAAUACCCCGCUGUUCUGACGGUACCCAAAGAAUAAGCACCGGCUAACUUCGUG
This 492-nucleotide ribosomal RNA is filed under the name uncultured bacterium. Its description in RNAcentral is "partial 16S ribosomal RNA". It matches the Rfam family "Bacterial small subunit ribosomal RNA", at positions 29 to 507 of the family's 1533-position model. The record is from RNAcentral.